RNAcentral lists this transfer RNA (64 nucleotides) under Calotes nigrilabris. Its description in RNAcentral is "tRNA-Tyr". The record is from RNAcentral. Lineage: Eukaryota; Metazoa; Chordata; Lepidosauria; Squamata; Agamidae.
CGACCAGGGGGGAGUCUCCCCAUUAAUAGGUUUACAGCCCACCGCCUAAUUCAGCCACCUGACC